CCGGCGGGAGCCCCGGGGGGCUAGCCCUCCCCUGUGACCGCAAACGGGCUCAUGGCGGGGGGCGUUAACCUCCGAGGGCGCCUGAAAGCCCCUCGCGCCCGGACCGCGCACCUACGGGUGCGCUCCGGGUCCGCGGGACACCCCGCUCCGUGCUAAUCCCCUCGUAGGAGGGGUGAAGCACGGGAAGGCCGAAGCGGGUUAGGCCCGGGAGGGAGCGGCCCUAAGGCCGGCGGGGUGUGUUCGCGGGUGCUCGGGGUGAGAGGUAGGUGCGGAGGACCGGCGCAGGGGGCGCAGGCCACCUCGGGGGAUGCCGCCGG
This 317-nucleotide signal recognition particle RNA is filed under the name Thermofilum sp. NZ13. RNAcentral describes it as "signal recognition particle sRNA". It matches the Rfam family "Archaeal signal recognition particle RNA". Lineage: Archaea; Thermoproteati; Thermoproteota; Thermoprotei; Thermofilales; Thermofilaceae. The record is from RNAcentral. RNAcentral also lists the same sequence under 1 other name.